CUGAUGGGAGUGAAUUCUGUCCAGAAGUACUUAGCUUGGCUGCAGUGCUAAGUGUUCUACGUGCAAAAGAAAUGUUUUUUUUUCUUGUGUUCUGGUCCUCUAGUUUAAGCAGGAUAUAAUUUAGGAAACUUUUUGACAGCUGAUAUGCCAAAGCUUGCAGCUCCUUGACAGGGCAGCGAGAGGAGCUGUGCAGCCUUCUGGUUAUAGAGGCAGUUCUGUCCCCACUGUGCUCCACUCCUUUUUACCCACGGUGUGGGAAAAACACGAGCACCUACAUAGGGAGGACCAUCUAUCCUUCCGUUGGCUUUAAGAGAUUGAUGUUCUCUCGUUCGUAACUGCUGCUGUUUAAGAAGUUGCUUUUUCUUGGCCUCUCUUGGAAAGAUGAUGGAAGAACGCUUUGACCAGGUCUUUUGCACAGAAUACCUGGUUUGAUUGCUCAGUGCUUAAUUGCCGAAGACUUAGUAUGAGGAAAUGAAGUGGUACGAUGACAAAUGUCUGGGUAGACAUCUUGUUCUCCUUCCUGAAUAGGUAGGGCAUUUAAUCAGCUGGCAAGCCACCAGAGCAAAGUACUGUGCAGCUGUUGGCCUCUGGGGUUUCCAGAAAGAUGUUGUGAUUUAUCUGCAUAUUGAUCAGUUUUGAACAUAAAUAAAACUUGUCUGCUGAUCUGACAGGAGCUGGUUUCAGGGGUGGCAGGGAGAGUUUGCCCUUCUGAAUGGGUGUAUGUGAUGUUGCUCAACCAUUGUGGCUUGCUAAAACUACACAGUUCUGUUCACUGCAUGCUGUUUCAAUGUAAUGAGCCCAGUCUAUCCCUCCAAGCAUUUACAGUCACUUCAAUUGUGUUUGUGGCUGGGAAGGAAGAAAAAAACACACUUCAUGAACAACGAUUUUGCUUUUAGUUAGAAGUUUGAUGGGGCAGGGAGGCUUGGUUGAAACUAACACUCAGAGCCUAAGUUUUGUCUGAAUCGAUACAGGCAAGCAACACCGGUGAUUCGAAGUGCUCAGGAGAUCUUUUCUUCUCCAGUCCCUGGCAAAAUUUCUUGUUGACCAAAUCCAGGAUGAUGGUCAUGCUAUUUUCUCAUCAAGAGACUGGUAAUCAAAAACAAGUUGCAACAAUUAUUUUUUGGAAGCCGGCUAGUAAGAAGUGGCAACACAAUGUGUUCGAAGGUUAAAUUUAUGUUUUAUUGUUGUUUUUUUUUUUAAACAAAAAUUAACAGCUAAAAACAUUUUUUAGUUAAAACUUCAUUCCUGAGAAUGCUACUUUACAGUAGAGGUAAAUAAUUGUUCAGAAGCUUAAUGUGG
This is a long non-coding RNA of Gallus gallus (chicken), 1299 nucleotides long. NCBI's taxonomy places the organism in Eukaryota, Metazoa, Chordata, Aves, Galliformes, Phasianidae. The record is from Ensembl.